This 288-nucleotide unclassified non-coding RNA is filed under the name uncultured fungus. RNAcentral's name for it is "partial contains 5.8S ribosomal RNA, internal transcribed spacer 2, and large subunit ribosomal RNA". The record is from RNAcentral. Lineage: Eukaryota; Fungi.
AACGCACCUUGCGCUCCUUGGCAUUCCGAGGAGCAUGCCUGUUUGAGUGUCGUUGAAUUCUCAGAGCCCCUCCCUAAUCUUUUGGCGAGUGGGUUUGGAUUGGUGGAGGAUGCACUGCUGCUGCCCCUAUAGGGGGGCCAACUUUGCUCCUCUGAAAUGGAACAGUGUUAUGGCACAAACCGGUCGUCGGUAUGAUACUCCUUACCGGCUCCCAAACCAUGCCUUAGCUGCAUUGUCUUUGUGGACAAAUUUGACCUCAAAUCAGGCAGGACUACCCGCUGAACUUAA